GAUGAAGAACGUAGCGAAAUGCGAUAAGUAAUGUGAAUUGCAGAAUUCAGUGAAUCAUCGAAUCUUUGAACGCACAUUGCGCCCCUUGGUAUUCCGGGGGGCAUGCCUGUUCGAGCGUCAUUAUAACCCCUCAAGCUCAGCUUGGUGUUGGGGCCUGCCGACUGGCAGCCCUUAAAAUCAGUGGCGGCGCCAUCUGGCUCUAAGCGUAGUAAUUUCUCUCGCUAUAGAGUCCCGGUGGAUGCUUGCCAGCAACCCCCAACUUUCUAUGGUUGACCUCGGAUCAGGUAGGGAUACCCGCUGAAUUUAAGCAUAUCAAUAAGCGGAGGA
RNAcentral lists this unclassified non-coding RNA (327 nucleotides) under soil metagenome. Its description in RNAcentral is "partial contains 5.8S ribosomal RNA, internal transcribed spacer 2, and large subunit ribosomal RNA". The stretch from base 1 to 120 matches the Rfam family "5.8S ribosomal RNA", at positions 35 to 154 of the family's 154-position model. The record is from RNAcentral.